Molecule: long non-coding RNA, 1505 nt
Filed under: Bemisia tabaci
Lineage: Eukaryota; Metazoa; Arthropoda; Insecta; Hemiptera; Aleyrodidae
Description: lncRNA ENSSSA3NGG006527
Source: RNAcentral
CCAAGGCGUGCGUAAUCUUCUCGCAAUGCAUUACUUUGGUCACCCUUUCGAUGCAGAGCUUCAAAAUGUGUCACAAAAUGCAAUUAUUCAUCAUAAUUCUGUCAGUGUAAGAUGCUUCUAUUGACGCAAAGUGGCAAACACGCUUUCGAGGAAGCCGAAAAGCAACUAUAUUAGCUCCUCCAAAGUUUGCUCGGUGACAAUUCGAGAGCAACAGAGCCUAACUGAUAUUUUGUCCAGUCCAGAGUGCUAAAUCAAGUGUUUCCAACAUGUUUUCAAGAUUCUUCAUAUUCGUGAGCACCUUGUUGGCUCUUGCAAUGGCAGCACCCGCGGCCAACAUUAUCCCUGCACCGAUAGCGACAGCUCAAAGCUCACAAUUCUUCGUGCGGAACUACAACGGGAUUGUACCGCCACCUCCUUUCGUCGUCCCUGCAGUCGCUGAACCAAUUCUACCCCUCGAUCCAGUUUAUCCCUUUUAGUUCAUUAGUUAGUUUAUACAACAGGGAUGUUUUUAGUGUAACGCAAUCAUGUAGGCCAAUUCUUUGGUUAUUAUGGGCGAUGGUCAGUUGCGCUGAUUACAAAGUCGUAAAAUCUAGGCAGGAAACACUGUGCAUGGCUUCUUAUGUAAAAUGCUACAUCAAAUAUUAAUACUUGAUCUCUUGCCAUAUUAAAUUGUUUCUCUCUCUAUUUUUUCCUUUUUUCAUACGACAGCAAAAAAAUCUAAAAUUCUGGAUCAGAGUUGAAAAUAAGAGAGUAGUCUUUUGAGUCACGCAUUCCCACAAUUCUAUGAUAAGUAUGUCUGCGGCAUGGGCAUUAAAUCUUUUCAUUUAGUGGAUUAUUCAAAUACCGGCAUCCGAUGGGGAGAAAAACGCUUAAAGGAUAGAUGGAAUUACCUUUUAAAAAAUUAGUGGAGUCGAGGAAUGUAAUUUAACUCUGAGAAACUAAUGCUGAACUAAACUGAAAAGUUUAUGAGUUUCAUACAAAUUGACACUACGACUACAUUCAUCUUCCUACAUUUGUCCGAAAUACUAUUAAUUAAUUAGAAAUAUCUUCCAUAAACUUAUAAAAUUCUAUCUAUAAAAUUAAAUAAUCCAGGAUAUUUUCUCUCUAAACGGCCAAACUAGAGUUCCCUAGUGCCCUUAGUGCCUUUAUAGCAAAUCAUGAGCUUGCCUUCGAUAUGAGCUUUGAAUAUUGAUGGAUAAAUAGAUUCAUUUGAGGUCGAAGUAGAAUAGUUUCAAAAUUACCUUUUGUUAUUCUCAACGUUGUAAAAAUUCUGAUGUAAACAGAGAAAUUGUCAAGCGCACGGUGAAAUUACAUAACAUCAUUUCAUUGAUAACUUAAACGGGUAGUAAUUGCAUUUCAUAUUACAUGUUAUUUUAUCAUAUUAUCAAUUAUGUUAUAAAAAUGUUGGAACAUAUAAAUGAAAUUAUGUACACACAUUGGAGAAAACAAGAAAUAAAUCAUUCUAAAAGGAAAGAAAAAUGUAGACACUUUACUUUCCUUCUCAC